RNAcentral lists this ribosomal RNA (436 nucleotides) under uncultured Pseudomonas sp. RNAcentral describes it as "bacterial SSU rRNA". It matches the Rfam family "Bacterial small subunit ribosomal RNA", at positions 948 to 1382 of the family's 1533-position model. The record is from RNAcentral. Lineage: Bacteria; Pseudomonadati; Pseudomonadota; Gammaproteobacteria; Pseudomonadales; Pseudomonadaceae.
AAUUCGAAGCAACGCGAAGAACCUUACCAGGCCUUGACAUGCAGAGAACUUUCCAGAGAUGGAUUGGUGGCCUUCGGGAACUCUGACACAGGUGCUGCAUGGCUGUCGUCAGCUCGUGUCGUGAGAUGUUGGGUUAAGUCCCGUAACGAGCGCAACCCUUGUCCUUAGUUACCAGCACGUUAUGGUGGGCACUCUAAGGAGACUGCCGGUGCAAACCGGAGGAAAGGUGGGGGUGACGUCAAGUCAUCAUGGCCCUUACGGCCUGGGCUACACACGUGCUACAAUGGUCGGUACAAAGGGUUGCCAAGCCGCGAGGUGGAGCUAAUCCCAUAAAACCGAUCGUAGUCCGGAUCGCAGUCUGCAACUCGACUGCGUGAAGUCGGAAUCGCUAGUAAUCGUGAAUCAGAAUGUCACGGUGAAUACGUUCCCGGGCCUU